RNA transcript from Panicum virgatum (switchgrass), 2583 nucleotides. It is a transcript of the gene named F-box/FBD/LRR-repeat protein At1g13570-like, with no coding region annotated. The transcript is spliced from 7 exons. Lineage: Eukaryota; Viridiplantae; Streptophyta; Magnoliopsida; Poales; Poaceae. The record is from RefSeq and is a predicted model, not a curated record.
AUGUAUCUUCAAUUUACUGCUCUUUAUAUUGCGAACUCCAUAUUUUCAGGAGCUGUGCCAUUUCGCGUUUCGGAGCGCGGGAAGCCGCGGCUGGAGGCCGGGGCGGAGGGUGGGGCGGCGACGGGGGUGGCGCCGGAGCCGGACCUUCUCUCGCCGCUCCCCCUCGAGGUUCUCGAUGAGAUCCUCUCCCGCCUUUCACAUCUACGACGUCGUCCGCACCUCGGUGCUCUCCCGCGCGUGGCGGCGCCGGUGGGAGGCGCUCCCCACCGUCAACCUCUUCAGGCAGCCCACCAUCCCCCCGCUAGCGAGGUCGAUGCGCUCCUCCUCCGCCGGACGGCGCCCCUCCGCGCCUUCCGGCUCGUGGGGAACAGCUCCUGGUACAUCGACGCCCUCGACGACUGGCUCCUCUACCUCUCCCGCAACGGCGUCGAGACCCUCGUCCUCUGGUUCCCGCCGGUGGGGUUCCGGCUGCACUCGAGCCUCUUCUCCUGCCGCGAGCUCACCUUCCUCAGCCUUGUCUCCUGCCGCCUGCCGCCCACACCGGCGGGGUUCGCCGGAUUCCCGAGCCUGAAGACGCUACUAUUCGACAAGGUCGCCAUCCCGGAGCACGGGGGUAAGCAAUUGGCGGCCCUAAUCGCCGGAUCUUCGUCAAUUGAGAGAGUGGACUCACAAGAGUAGAGCUCAUUGGGGACGACCCCGAAGCCGAAGAUGAGUGGGUGAUUCAGGCACCCAGCCUUCGAGAGCUGACAAUAACUAGUGGUUUUCCUUACGGGGGCCGUGUUGGGGAACUCCCGCGGUUGCAGAAAGGGGCUCUAGUUGGCUGCAAUUACGCCAAGUUCUUGAUGGGGAUGUCACAGAUUACAGAGCUUGAGUUUGCAUGCGGCCUUGAUUGGUGGGCUGAAGUUGAUGUGCUGGAUCGGUUACCUUUCCUGUUUGAGAACCUGAGGACCUUAAUCAUUUCCAUUGAUUUUACUGAGAUGUUCGCAAUUUUAUAUUUUUUCUGCCUACUAAGAAGUGCUCCUGUUCUUGAAGAACUCAUUGUUUGUGGAUGGAGCACUGGUUCACAGGUAGUCAAUGCAGAUGACAAGUUUUUGAAUGCUCAGUUCGUUGAUGGUAUGUUUGGCAAACUUCGUGUUGUGCGAAUGAACAAUAUUCUAUGCUUCUCUAAUGAAAUGUACUUCGUGGAGUUCAUUCUAUCCAAGGCAAGAGUUUUGCAAGUGCUAUCUGUUAGGCUUGGUCCUGAUGCCCUAUGCAGUAAUGAGGCAGCAGUUAUUGCUAUAAAGGAAUAUCCAAAAGCUUCACCUGAUGCGCAAGUCAUCUUUUUGGGUAGCGAAUCUACAAAUACUGGCCCUAUCAAUACCUCCACUGAGAAUGCUGAGGUGGGAGAGGUACAGACAACAGGCAGAGAGCAUGACUCUAUCGACACACCUCCUGAGAAUGCUGAGGUGGAAGAGACACGUACAGAAGACGGCAAGUGUGGCUCUAUCUCUACAGCCACUGAGAAUGAUGAGGCGGAAGAGACACAGACAACAGGCAGCGGGUGUGUGUCUAUCAAAAUGUCCACUGAAAAUGCUAAGGUGGAUGAGAUACAGACAACAGACAGCGAGCAUGAAUCCAUCAAUAUGUCCACGGAGAAUGCUGAGGUUGAAGAGACACAGAUAGCAGACAGUGGGCUGGUGAACGGUGUACACCCUCGGAGACAGCAACGACUGGAUCUGGAGUCUGUAGCACAGCUGGAGCAGCUCAAGGUGGAUAUGCACGAACUGCAGGAGAAGGUGCGGCUGCAGCUUGACUGCAGGAGAUUGAAGCUUGAGAGUAGAACACAGGUGCUUAAUACUGUCAUUGAGAAUCUAAAGUACCAAUCUUGGUUCAAGGAGUUGUCUGAGCGUACCAAUAUUAGUCUGCCACCGUUUCCUGAGCCUUCAUCUGUCCUAUCAUCACUUUUGGCCACAUCCAGAACUGAAGAUUCUCCUGUCAAUCUUGGUGUCAAUGGUGCUGCACGUGUGGGUGUGAAUUCCUCAGAAGAUCAUGGUGUAAAUGGUGCUGAUAAUGCUCACCUAGAUCCCCGAGAAGAUACCAUCAAUGAUGCUAGCAUGGCUGCUGCUGAUGCUCGUACCAUCGAUGGUGCUAGCAUGGCUCAUGCCAGUUCUUCAGAACAUGCAUAAAUGAUGCUUCUGCUGAUGCUCCUUUAUUACGGGGCAACGGCUGCCAAUGCUCAUGUGGAUUAUCCAGAAGAAGACCAUGGAGUAAGUAGCGCUUCCAAUGCUCAAGUGGAUUCUUCAGGUGACCAAUGUUGCCAAUGGUGCUAUCACCCUCAAUUAUGAGCAUGCCGUGUCUGAUGAUUGGUUUCGUGAGUCCAGUCCUCUCGCGACUUGGAUGUUUCUGUGCUUGCCAAUUCAGUUUGUUGAUGCCAUAUACUCUUAUAAUGAACAAAUGUACGAUUUGCUUCCAUCGUGAACUAUUCUUGACAAUGCAUCCGGCAUUUGUUGACCUGUUUAAAUUGAUAUGACUUGCUGGUUGUCUCUGAAUCUGACAUCCAAUAUUGUUGACUAUUGAUAGUAACAAGACCAAUAGGAAUUGUGA